CUGGCCAAGUUCGCCGAUGACACCAAACUUUGGGGCAAAGCAUCCACACCAGAAGACAGGCAGAUGAUCCAGGCUGACCUGGACAGGCUCAGCAAGUGGGCGGACAAGAAUCUGAUGGCAUUCAACGCCGAUAAAUGCAAGGUUCUCCACCUUGGGAAGAAAAACCCGCAGCAUCCUUAUAGGCUCGGCAGUGCUAUGCUGGCUAGCACUAUGGAAGAAAGAGACUUGGGGGUCAUCAUUGACCACAAGAUGAACAUGAGCCUGCAAUGCGAUGCUGUGGCUAGUAAAGCGACCAAAACGCUGGCUUGCAUCCAUAGAUGCUUCUCAAGCAAAUCCCGGGACAUCAUUUUUCCCUUGUACUCGGCCUUAGUGAGGCUGCAGCUGGAGUACUGCGUCCAGUUUUGGGCUCCACAAUUCAAAAAGGAUGUGGAGAAGCUUGAGAGAGUCCAGAGAAGAGCCACGCGCAUGAUCAGAGGUCAGGGAAGCAGACCCUACGAUGACAGGCUGAGAGCCCUGGGGCUCUUUAGCCUGGAAAAGCGCAGGCUCAGGGGUGAUCUGAUGGCCACCUACAAAUUUAUCAGGGGUGACCACCAGUAUCUAGGGGAACGUUUGUUCACCAGAGCACCCCAAGGGAUGACGAGGUCGAAUGGUCACAAACUACUACAAGAUCGUUUCAGGCUGGACAUAAGGAAGAAUUUCUUUCCUGUCCGAGCCCCCAAGGUCUGGAACAGCCUGCCACCGGAGGUUGUUCAAGCGCCUUCAUUGAAUACCUUCAAGAUGAAACUGGAUGCUUAUCUUGCUGGGAUCCUAUGACCCCAGCUGACGUCCUGCCCUUUGGGCGGGGGGCUGGACUCGAUGAUCUUCUGAGGUCCCUUCCAGCCCUAAUGCCUAUGAAACCUAUGAAGUGAUGAUUCCAGAUGGGAAACUAAAACCCUAUCACUGCUUAGAAAAUGGAUUCACUAAAGCAACUAGGAUUCGUCUCCUUUGACCCUCUCUUGCUAACCUGAGAUAAAGAGGAGCUGAAGUGUUCCCUUACAGGGGCCCAGGCAAGCCUAAGAGUAGUUGGGGAAAAGGCAUAAAUUAGUAUCCUUGUAGCAGAGGCUUAAAUACCAUAAAUUAAAACAAAGAAACCUUUUGUUUUGGUGCAGAUAGGUGGAAGUGUCCUAUACAGUAGGUAAAGCAGGCUAUUCAGCCACUGACCUCUGCUUCAGCACCAACAAGGGGGCAGUUGUAUUGGUGACUUCAUCUAACAAUGAAGGGUGUUUCCUAUGAAAGCUAUUGCCUCUCUGAACCAGUUAGUCUCUAAGGUGCUACCCGACCCGACCCUACCUUCUGCUUUGUGGCUCCAAUGACACCUGUUUGCUAGGAAGCAGCUGAGACCCAAGCAUGGCACAUAAGCCACUGAGCAGCCAUUGGAGGACAGAGUCACUUGCUAUCAAGCUGAGUGUAAUUAGAAUCAGCUGCUUAGCAGGGGGCAAGAGGCUUCAUAGCCUAUUACCCCUCUCAGGAGUCACAUAGUUCUCUUUCAGGAAGAUACAAGCCAUGUAGGGACACUACAUUUGCAGCGCUAUACGUGCCCUUGUUGCGCCACAGAAAUCAAGCACAGACAUGUACGCCCCUGUAGCCCUACAAAAAUAGUGGAAGUGCUGCAAAAUACUGCUGGCUGAAACAGGCAACUAGCACUAUGUCUAACGUGUGCACAGUGAUAGAGGUUGAAAUACAAAUAUUGGGCCAGCAGUUGUAGCGUAAAUCAAAAGAAAUGCUAUUGAAGCCAAUGGGUUUAUUCCAGAUUUACCCUCAGGGUCCUACAACAAGGAAUAAACCCAUUGUCUCCAUGAGCCAAAGGUGCUGAGAACUGCCAUUUCCCUUUCCUGUCUGUGCUUUUCUCUGUUAAGCUUCUGCCUCUAAUGCAACCUAUAAUGGGUAUUAAAGAGCCUGUUCCUGAGCUGGUGUAUAUCAGUGUAGUGCUAGUGAAGCCUAUGGAGGCGGACUGAUUCAUAUCAAGAGAAGUUUGGCCCAAUGUUGAUAUUGUUUUUCUGUCUUCCUAUAAUUCCACAUUCUCUCAUGAAAUAAUGCUGAGCAGCCUUGUCAACACAAUUUCAUAGCAAUGCUAGAGCCUACCUUUCGUGCAGUAUUUCUGAGUAUGCCCACUCCAGAAACCGUUUGGGAAAAUAGAUUGAAAAAAUCCAUCAGAAACAGCAGCACCAGGCUGUUUUCAGUUCAUAUCUGGCUCUUAAUCAUAUGCUGGAGCUCCCAGAAACAUAGCUGGAUAUGCAUGCCCAUGAGUAUUCAUUAAGAAAAAAAAACCUAACUAAACUUUGUCUGUCCCUACUUAUACUCAGCCAUUGUGCAAAGGCCUAGUAGAUCAUCAUACUUUCCACUUCUUCAGUCUGGGGACCUGGGGAGUCUUAGUGAUUAAUGAAGCCUCACAACAGCCAUAUCCCCAUUUUACAGAUAGGGAAAACUCAUGCCGAAUCCACACCUGCCAACACCCAGGCUUGCAUUUUCACCAUGCUAGCCUUCCUUCCCCUCCAGACGUUGGCAACGAACAGAAAUGCCACCUGGCACCAGUGCUAAAUUUGCCUUUUUUUGAAGAUUCUAAAAUUUCUGCUGGGAAGGAAACAGCAAUAUCAUCAUCAUCAUCAUCAUCAAGCUGGGACGAAAAGUUAUACCUUGCCUUCUACUCUGGGUAAAUACAUUGUCUCAGUGUACCUGGAUCUGGAUAUCUUAGAGAGUCUGGUUCCAAUUAUCUACCUCCUAAAGACUCUAGUUGCUCCACACUGAAAAUAUAGGAGCUGAAUUCUGAUCAGCUACACCGAAGUCUGGAACAGCCCCAAUGGUGAAACCAAGAUCAGCCUCCAGCCCUUAUUGUCUAUUUCUACCAUGCUACAGGAAUUAUACAGAAUACAUUGAAGUAGAUAAGGAGUUCAGGAGAACAAACAUAGCCAAAGUCCCCUAAGUAUACAGGUCAUAUUUCCCCAAAAUAGAGACAUCUGCAUCUCCAAAUUUAGAAAUGAUUUUUCCCUUUCCAAAUGGGUAAUAACCCAGGGAGCGCUGUACAUAUUUUUUUUUUCUGUUUUGAAUUCUGUUAGCUGACAAUUUAACCUAAAAUCCUUCGUAUUUUCUACUUGUUCAGCUGUAAAUAGAGACUGACAGUUUAUUUUCAACAUCCUGGUUAAAAAAAAAAAAGAAAAAACAUUUGAAAUAAAUACUUAUGGCUCCAUGACAGACUACAGACGUGAAGUCGAUGCUCCAUAGCAAUCUCUUGGAGCUGUCACACUCUGUGAUCGGUCUUUUACAAACACAAACACUGUUGAUUUCUUAUCAAAUGUAAAACCUCCACAGCUCUUUCUUAAAUGGUUACCACUAGCAUGAAAUUGACAUUGUGAAUCACAUGUGACACUGACUUGUCUGCCUUGUAAUUGAUCUGUGCUUAGGAAAGGAGACAGAGCCUGUACAAGCUUCAGUCCCAAUCACUGAGUCUUCAGCACAUACCAAGCUCUCAGCAAUCUGCUCAGGACCCAAGUGAUGGCAAAUUGUUCUAAAUGAUAGAAAACUGUAAGGAGGAGGAAGAGGGGGGAAAGGAGCUUGAUUCAUCUAAGUUGUGUGUGUAUGUGUGUGUGUUUUUAAUACUGAUUCUCUGAGGUGUCAAUUUCAAUUUCAAUGGAUUCAUUAUUAUGCACAUCAAACUGCUGUAAUUGGCUGCUACAGAAAUUUAUUCCUUAAAAAAAAAAAAAAAAGAGAGGGAGAGAGAGAGGGAGAGGGGAUGUGAGAUGGCACAUUAAAGAGGGUUUGGAAGCUGCCUGUGCCAUCUUGAGAUUGGCAGAAAAAAAGAGAGAUUGGCAUGCUAACAGGAUCCCAUUCUCUUUGGUUAACCAAAUGCCACAUGAAAACAAAAGUCUGUCGAGGUGUCAGUGUCAGAUUGAAACUGCAAACAGAAAGCUCCGGUUCCAGAAGCCGGAGCCCCCGCCCACUGUCUCAUCAUCGUGCUGCCAUCUAAGAGCAGACGGGGGGCUCUCUUUGCAAUGCUUAGCUUUGCUUUGCUGCGUGGGGUUGCUUUCCAUCUCUCUCCCCGCCUUCCCACUCCCUUACAUUUCUCAGUGGCAGCCUCUCUCCCUGGCUAUUCGGGAUCAUUGUCCAAGAAAUUCACAUUCUGCCUUUUCAGGGCAUCAGUUUACUAAAUGAGGCCUCCACAUUCAGAUCGUGAUCUACUACCUACCUGUGAGGGAGAGCUUAAAAAAAAAAAAAAAAAAAAAAAAAAAAAAGCUUUCAGAGCCCCCUCUAACUCUGGGUCUUUUUCAAGCAGCCCAAAGUUACUAUACUCUUUGGUUGUCUAUUGUGAAGUCUGUAUUGCUGUGGUUUGGGGUGAAUGUAGAAAAUAAACUAGAGCAUCAAAUAUUUACAUAAAAGUAUUUUGAAUAUAUAUAAUUAUGUUCUUAUUGGCUGGGAAUGCAAGUAGAAAUAAAAUGUUCCAUCUAUUUAUAUAAUGGAAUAAUCAAUCUAUAUAAAACUAAUCUAUUUUUCAUGCCACAUAUUUAUCUAAUCUGAAAUAUAUUAGUUACCAUGGAGCAAUGAUGUCACUCAUAUGAAUGACAUCUACGAAGACUAAAGUUAGUUUCUCUGUAACUACAGAGCCUGAUUCCUCUAUGCAUAUGCUUGACUUACCCAUGCGAGUACUCUCACUGAAGCCCAUAGCAUUACUCACUAGUGUCAAAUAAAGUGCGUCUUCAGAGAAUACAAUAUCAGGGCCUAGCCUUGUGUACCCAGGUUAUGAAAUAUCACGGUUAAUGUUAUGCUUAUCCUUCUGAAUAUAUUAUAUACACAUGAAUAGGAGCAUGUGUACACAUGUAAAUUUGAGCCUCUGCUCAUUUGUAUCUUAUCCAAAGUCAAGCAAAUACAUGCAAUGAAUUCUGAAGGUCAGUAAUCACUCAUGUUUAUAGUUGUUUGGAGCAGUUCAGGAAGUGGUGGUGGCAGAGUGUGUGUGUGUGUGUGUGUGUGUGUGUGUGUACACACACACUUGCACGCACACACACACACACACUUGCACGCACACACAUGCACGCACGCAUAUAUUACCCAUUGUGAGAAGUUUAACUUAAUGCGAUGUCGCAUUUAAUUUAUGGAAUGCACCCAGUUGCUAUGGCACUGAGUACAUUAAAAAGAAACUCAAUCAAUAAAUAAGUGAAAUUGUUGUCAAUAGGAAUUUUGUACGAAGAUGAACAGUAGAUCAUGACCCUUUAUUCAGAGGGGUAGGGGAGUUAUAAUUUCUUUUACUCUUUUUGAAUGUAGCUUCACCAUCACUUAAGAGAAAGGUGUUUCCUGAAUGAGAGCUAUGUCAGUAUUGAUUUUGUUCAAGAAUAAUAUAAAUGUUUUCCUUUUGCCAGAUUUAUUGAGACCUUUGACAUUCCAGGAAAGGAUUUUCAUAUUCAAGUCUAAAACUUACUGUCUGGUGCGUCCAAAGAAAAUGAAUCUGGGUAGCAGAACGACAAACGUAUUUGUGGGGAAAGACCUUUGAUAUGUAAUGCUGAUUAUUCUGAGAACCCAGCCGGGUAUAGUCAAGUGGCCUGCCAUUAGCAGGAAUCAUGAGAAGAUAUUCAGUAACACGUAACAGAGCACACCCUAGCCGAACAAGAAUUCCAGACCUGAUCAUCCUCGGAAAGGUGUUUGUCCUUGGAGGUGAAAGUCUCGUGAGACCUAUCAGCAGGAAUGAUACUUCCAGGAAUCUCUGAUUUCGCUGGGGAAGAAAGAGUGGGUGUCUUGUUUAACAUUACAAAUGACCUUUAUCGUUACCUUUCCUAUCUCAGAUCAAGAGAGUCCUGGAAAUAAUAAACCACAGAACUCAAUUUAACGUCCCCAGAACUCUGUUAAUUCACAUCAUCUGGGCAGACAGUUUCUCAGAUUAGCAAAUCCAUGCCCAUCUGAGGUGCAGCUCAGCCAGAUCUGAGCAGGGGACAGGGAUGGCCUUUGAGGAACCUUGCAAGACUGGAGAGAGCUCUUGCAUUUGAGAAGCUGCUGAAAAGCCGGCGUGAGGAGGUGCUCUGAGAAAGAUUGAUGAGAGCUCACAUAUCACUACCCGACCCUUUCUCUAACUGCCAGGGAAGGACGGUAAGGGGCAUCUGGGGGUCACGUGGUCAGAUUUGGGGAGUCGGGUUGAUUCAGAUAUGGAGCUCAAAUCUAAGCAAGGAAAACAACAUUAUGUGGACUAAGUUAUUUUUGCUACAUGAUUAUGCCAUUGAUCACAAGAAACGACCGGCCGUUGAAUCCCCCUGUGAAAGCAAUUAGGAUACAGCAAUGGGGAAAGAGCAGAAAGGAGGUAAGGUAACGCUGAUGCCGCAGGAGCCAGAUAGAUUACUAACCCAAAGCCCAGGUCUCAGGCACUGUUCUACACUGCCACACCAUGACAUUGCUAUUGUGCAGCAUGGGAAUAUCCCACGGGUCUCUGCAUAUUGCAAGGAGAUAAAGUUUCAGGUUGUCCGGGAAGAGGCAGAGUCAUGGCUGGGGGUAUCUGGCGGUCAGAGAUGCUGUUCCCAGGUUAUGGCUGUGAGAAAAAUAAGAGAAAGGGAGAGUGCAGGAGUGCCCUUGGAAAGGUCGUCCUGGGCUCAGAAGGUGAGAAGAGCUGUAACAAGGGAUUCUCAUGAACCUCAGUGACCCCCAGGCUGGUCCCGAUUGUGACGGUCCGUGUUGGCAAGGAGCUGCCUUGCAGCACUCGGGAGCUCUGACUGACAGCUGAUAUUUAGAGCUGAGCUGGACAAGGAUCACAGGUGUUACACAGAUGCUUAAUAAGUUGACACCCCCCAAGUGCAGAGAAAUAGGCCCUAUGGCUCCCUCUUCUUUAGGAGCUGCCUCAGAUUGACGUCAGAUGGGUCGGUGAGAAGCAAGGACCCUACAAAAGGCAACGUAAACACUCAGUGCAGCCUCACGUACCUGGUGUUUCUCUGACUCGGGCAAACCAAGUCUACUGAAAAAUUCCACCAAAUAUUCCCUGGGAAACUCUGACACAGCCCUAAUACAAGAUCCAUCUGAAGGAUGGAUUAGGACCUGAAACAGUCAAGCCUUGGGGUCUGGAUUCAGGAAUGAAUGUAUUUAUUUGUGAGAAGUACUUGACCACACAGAAUAUGCUAUCUUGACAACACCAUGAAUUGCAAGUCAUGGUAUAGGAAGAGAAAGUUUAUAUGCCAUAAUGUCAAUUAGAAUGUAUCUGCAUAUGUGUAUGAGUUUAUAUAAUUCUUAAAUAAAGUGCCAUUGUUGGAACAA
Molecule: long non-coding RNA, 7254 nt
Organism: Alligator mississippiensis (American alligator)
Lineage: Eukaryota; Metazoa; Chordata; Crocodylia; Alligatoridae
Exons: 2
Source: RefSeq, a predicted model, not a curated record